UUCCUAUGCACAUACCUCUUU
Molecule: microRNA, 21 nt
Filed under: Callorhinchus milii (elephant shark)
Lineage: Eukaryota; Metazoa; Chordata; Chondrichthyes; Chimaeriformes; Callorhinchidae
Also listed under: 1 other name
Description: Cmi-Mir-202_5p (mature (guide))
Source: RNAcentral